UGGGGAAUAUUGGACAAUGGGGGCAACCCUGAUCCAGCCAUGCCGCGUGUGUGAAGAAGGCCUUUUGGUUGUAAAGCACUUUAAGCAGUGAAGAAGACUCCAUGGUUAAUACCCAUGGACGAUGACAUUAGCUGCAGAAUAAGCACAGGCUAACUCUGUGCCAGCAGCCGCGGUAAUACAGAGGGUGCAAGCGUUAAUCGGAAUUACUGGGCGUAAAGCGAGCGUAGGUGGCUUGAUAAGUCAGAUGUGAAAGCCCCGGGCUUAACCUGGGAACGGCAUCUGAUACUGUUAGGCUAGAGUAGGUGAGAGGAAGGUAGAAUUCCAGGUGUAGCGGUGAAAUGCGUAGAGAUCUGGAGGAAUACCGAUGGCGAAGGCAGCCUUCUGGCAUCAUACUGACACUGAGGUUCGAAAGCGUGGGUAGCAAACA
Molecule: ribosomal RNA, 427 nt
Filed under: uncultured bacterium
Lineage: Bacteria
Description: partial 16S ribosomal RNA
Rfam family: Bacterial small subunit ribosomal RNA
Source: RNAcentral